Molecule: ribosomal RNA, 480 nt
Filed under: uncultured bacterium
Lineage: Bacteria
Description: SSU rRNA
Rfam family: Bacterial small subunit ribosomal RNA
Source: RNAcentral
AGGACGAACGCUGGCGGCGUGCUUAACACAUGCAAGUCGAGCGGAAAGGCCCUUCGGGGUACUCGAGCGGCGAACGGGUGAGUAACACGUGAGUAACCUGCCCUAGGCUUUGGGAUAACCCUCGGAAACGGGGGCUAAUACUGGAUAUUCCCGCGGGAUCGCAUGGUUUUGUGGGGAAAGGUUUUCCGGCUUGGGAUGGGCUCGCGGCCUAUCAGCUUGUUGGUGGGGUGAUGGCCUACCAAGGCGACGACGGGGUAGCCGGCCUGAGACGGGGCGACCGGGCCAACGACGUGGGACUGGAGACACGGCCCAGACUCCUACGGGAGGCAGCAGUGGGGAAUAUUGCCCAAUGAGCGAAAGCUUGAGGCAGCAACUCCGCGUGAGGGAUGAAGGCUCUAGGGUCGUAAACCUCUUUUCUCAGGGAAGAUACAAGACGGUACCUGAGGAAUAAGCGACGGCUAACUACGUGCCAGCAGCCGC